Small nuclear RNA from Erinaceus europaeus (western European hedgehog), 104 nucleotides. The record is from Ensembl. Lineage: Eukaryota; Metazoa; Chordata; Mammalia; Eulipotyphla; Erinaceidae.
GUGCUCACUUCGGCAGCACAUAUAUUAAAAUUGGUAUGAUACAGAGAAUAGCAUGGCCCCUGCGCAAGGAUGACACACAAAUUCGAGAAGUGUUCCAUAUUUUU